UUCCCCAGCAGUUUUGUCUAGCUGUGAGGUUCAUCCAAUGCUUUUAACAAGUACGACAGGCUGACAGUCCUGUGUCAGAUUUGAAUCCAAGCAGAACCCGGGGAAGAUGUUCCAGCAAUGAGUGUAAGUCCGGGGAGAUGGCAUCUGCUGUGGAUCUGUGGUGAACAUAGGCUGCAGUGGAUCAAGGCUGCCUGGGAGGCCAGAGUUAAUGAGUGCCGUUGGAAGCAUUUAAUGACGGUGGAUGUCAGCGACUGGACGGUAUUCAUUAAGGCACACAACCUUGCUAUUCUAUUACACAUUAGCCAAACUGAAUAACGUCCAACACACUCUGAGGAGUGCAUUCUCACAGCGUCAGGUCACAAUGCAGCUGCACUUGUAAUCGAGUCCAACUUGACACAUUUGCUGUGUUUAGCUAACUGGCUGAUGUACUGGCGGCCCGUGGUCACGGUGGGGUAGUUGGUGCAACGUGAAUCCUUGCCUACAUCUCCUGGCGUGAAAACGGAACAGUUUCUGGUGACCCAUCUCCGACGUGGCUGAAGCAAAUUUAAUUUAUUUUAUUAAGGCAGCAACAGCAGAUCGGUUGAAUUAAAAUCUGGUCUCUUGAGUCAUAAAUUAAAAAACGGUUUUCACGUAGAAAACAAGAAGUUGGAAUAAAUGGGUACUUUUCAGGCUG
This is a long non-coding RNA of Amblyraja radiata (thorny skate), 673 nucleotides long. RefSeq lists it as uncharacterized. The transcript is spliced from 2 exons. NCBI's taxonomy places the organism in Eukaryota, Metazoa, Chordata, Chondrichthyes, Rajiformes, Rajidae. The record is from RefSeq and is a predicted model, not a curated record.